AUCGGAAUUACUUGGCGUAAAGCGUGCGCAGGCGGUCCGCUAAGACAGAUGUGAAAUCCCCCGGGCUUAACCUGGAACUGCAUUUGUGACUGGCGGGCUAGAGUAUGGCAGAGGGGGGUAGAAUUCCACGUGUAGCAGUGAAAUGCGUAGAGAUGUGGAGGAAUACCGAUGGCGAAGGCAGCCCCCUGGGCCAAUACUGACGCUCAUGCACGAAAGCGUGGGGAGCAAACAGGAUUAGAUACCCUGGUAGUCCACGCCCUAAACGAUGUCAACUAGUUGUCGGGCCUUCAUUGGCUUGGUAACGUAGCUAACGCGUGAAGUUGACCGCCUGGGGAGUACGGUCGCAAGAUUAAAACUCAAAGGAAUUGACGGGGACCCGCACAAGCGGUGGAUGAUGUGGAUUAAUUCGAUGCAACGCGAAAAACCUUACCUACCCUUGACAUGUACGGAAUCCUGCUGAGAGGUGGGAGUGCCCGAAAGGGAGCCGUAACACAGGUGCUGC
This 502-nucleotide ribosomal RNA is filed under the name Burkholderia sp. RNAcentral's name for it is "bacterial SSU rRNA". It matches the Rfam family "Bacterial small subunit ribosomal RNA", at positions 544 to 1044 of the family's 1533-position model. Lineage: Bacteria; Pseudomonadati; Pseudomonadota; Betaproteobacteria; Burkholderiales; Burkholderiaceae. The record is from RNAcentral.